This 492-nucleotide ribosomal RNA is filed under the name uncultured bacterium. RNAcentral describes it as "partial 16S ribosomal RNA". It matches the Rfam family "Bacterial small subunit ribosomal RNA", at positions 30 to 507 of the family's 1533-position model. The record is from RNAcentral.
AUUGAACGCUGGCGGCAUGCUUUACGCAUGCAAGUCGAACGGUAACAGGCCUUCGGGUGCUGACGAGUGGCGAACGGGUGAGUAAUGCAUCGGAACGUGCCCAGAGGUGGGGGAUAACGCAGCGAAAGCUGUGCUAAUACCGCAUGUGAUCUGAGGAUGAAAGCGGGGGACCAGGCAGCAAUGUUUGGCCUCGCGCCUUUGGAGCGGCCGAUGUCAGAUUAGGUAGUUGGUGGGGUAAAGGCCUACCAAGCCGACGAUCUGUAGCUGGUCUGAGAGGACGACCAGCCACACUGGGACUGAGACACGGCCCAGACUCCUACGGGAGGCAGCAGUGGGGAAUUUUGGACAAUGGGCGCAAGCCUGAUCCAGCAAUGCCGCGUGAGGGAAGAAGGCCUUCGGGUUGUAAACCGCUUUUGUACGGAACGAAAAGGCUCUGGCUAAUACCUGGGGCUGAUGACGGUACCGUAAGAAUAAGCACCGGCUAACUACGUG